GACGAACGCUGGCGGCGUGCUUAACACAUGCAAGUCGAACGGAAAGGCCCUGCUUUUGUGGGGUGCUCGAGUGGCGAACGGGUGAGUAACACGUGAGUAACCUGCCCUUGACUUUGGGAUAACUUCAGGAAACUGGGGCUAAUACCGGAUAGGAGCUCCUGCUGCAUGGUGGGGGUUGGAAAGUUUCGGCGGUUGGGGAUGGACUCGCGGCUUAUCAGCUUGUUGGUGGGGUAGUGGCUUACCAAGGCUUUGACGGGUAGCCGGCCUGAGAGGGUGACCGGCCACAUUGGGACUGAGCUACGGCCCAGACUCCUACGGGAGGCAGCGGUGGGGAAUAUUGCACAAUGGGCGGAAGCCUGAUGCGGCAACGCCGCGUGCGGGAUGACGGCCUUCGGUUUGUAAACCGCUUUCGCCUGUGACGAAGCGUGAGUGACGGUAAUGGGUAAAGAAGCACCGGCUAACUACGUG
Molecule: ribosomal RNA, 468 nt
Filed under: uncultured bacterium
Lineage: Bacteria
Description: partial 16S ribosomal RNA
Rfam family: Bacterial small subunit ribosomal RNA
Source: RNAcentral